Molecule: ribosomal RNA, 497 nt
Filed under: uncultured bacterium
Lineage: Bacteria
Description: partial 16S ribosomal RNA
Rfam family: Bacterial small subunit ribosomal RNA
Source: RNAcentral
GAUGAACGCUGGCGGCGUGCCUAAUACAUGCAAGUCGAGCGAACAGAUAAGGAGCUUGCUCCUUUGACGUUAGCGGCGGACGGGUGAGUAACACGUGGGUAACCUACCUAUAAGACUGGGAUAACUUCGGGAAACCGGAGCUAAUACCGGAUAAUAUUUCGAACCGCAUGGUUCGAUAGUGAAAGAUGGUUUUGCUAUCACUUAUAGAUGGACCCGCGCCGUAUUAGCUAGUUGGUAAGGUAACGGCUUACCAAGGCGACGAUACGUAGCCGACCUGAGAGGGUGAUCGGCCACACUGGAACUGAGACACGGUCCAGACUCCUACGGGAGGCAGCAGUAGGGUAUCUUCCGCAAUGGGCGAAAGCCUGACGGAGCAACGCCGCGUGAGUGAUGAAGGUCUUCGGAUCGUAAAACUCUGUUAUUAGGGAAGAACAUACGUGUAAGUAACUGUGCACGUCUUGACGGUACCUAAUCAGAAAGCCACGGCUAACUACGUG